This 120-nucleotide small nucleolar RNA is filed under the name Echinops telfairi (small Madagascar hedgehog). RNAcentral's name for it is "Small nucleolar RNA SNORA61 (ENSETEG00000026524.1)". Lineage: Eukaryota; Metazoa; Chordata; Mammalia; Afrosoricida; Tenrecidae. The record is from RNAcentral.
ACCCUCCCAAUUCCUUACCCUUCAGAUCUAAAUAUUGAUCUUAGCGGUUAAAAAAGAGAAAAAGGGAAACUGAAUUGGACUUGGAGUCUUUCAUAACACACAAGUUCAUUUUAAACAUUA